AAGUAGAAGGAAAGAAAAAGAAAAAGGAGCGUUUGACAAAGAUCCAUCAAACAUGUGCAGCACAUCAAAAGUCUCCUUCCAUUUGAUACCGGUUCACCUGUAAAGUUGGCAAUUCGCACCAAACUCACAAUACUAUAAUGCAAGCCUAAUAAAAAGAACUCUCUUCCAGCUAAUAUCCAUCCCAUCAUCAACCAAUGCAAUCAAUAUCAAAAUCUCUGUUCAAAGUCUUUCUUCUUCAAAGCAACUUUCCUUUCGUCUCCUUUUUAGUGCUUA
Molecule: unclassified non-coding RNA, 273 nt
Filed under: Hevea brasiliensis (rubber tree)
Lineage: Eukaryota; Viridiplantae; Streptophyta; Magnoliopsida; Malpighiales; Euphorbiaceae
Source: RNAcentral